RNAcentral lists this ribosomal RNA (253 nucleotides) under uncultured bacterium. RNAcentral describes it as "partial 16S ribosomal RNA". It matches the Rfam family "Bacterial small subunit ribosomal RNA", at positions 524 to 776 of the family's 1533-position model. The record is from RNAcentral.
UACGUAGGGUGCGAGCGUUAAUCGGAAUUACUGGGCGUAAAGCGUGCGCAGGCGGUGGUGCAAGACAGAUGUGAAAUCCCCGGGCUCAACCUGGGAACUGCAUUUGUGACUGCACGGCUGGAGUGCGGCAGAGGGGGAUGGAAUUCCGCGUGUAGCAGUGAAAUGCGUAGAUAUGCGGAGGAACACCGAUGGCGAAGGCAAUCCCCUGGGCCUGCACUGACGCUCAUGCACGAAAGCGUGGGUAGCAAACAGG